CACGUAGGAGGCGAGCGUUGUCCGGAAUCAUUGGGCGUAAAGGGCGCGCAGGCGGCCUGGCAAGUCGAGUGUGGAAUCCCUUGGCUUAACUAAGGAAUGGCGCUCGAAACUACCGCGCUGGAGGGCGGGAGAGGGAAGUGGAACUCUCGGUGUAGGGGUGAAAUCUGUAGAUAUCGAGAGGAACACCGGUGGCGAAGGCGGCUUCCUGGCCCGUACCUGACGCUGAGGCGCGAAAGCGUGGGGAGCAAACAGG
Molecule: ribosomal RNA, 253 nt
Filed under: uncultured bacterium
Lineage: Bacteria
Description: partial 16S ribosomal RNA
Rfam family: Bacterial small subunit ribosomal RNA
Source: RNAcentral